This 29-nucleotide non-coding RNA is filed under the name Mus musculus (house mouse). The record is from RNAcentral. Lineage: Eukaryota; Metazoa; Chordata; Mammalia; Rodentia; Muridae.
UCCAAAGUAUGCCCUCACUGUCAUUGUGC